UAAUACAUGCAAGUCGAGCGAACUGAUUAGAAGCUUGCUUCUAUGACGUUAGCGGCGGACGGGAGAGUAACACGUGGGCAACCUGCCUGUAAGACUGGGAUAACUUCGGGAAACCGAAGCUAAUACCGGAUAGGAUCUUCUCCUUCAUGGGAGAUGAUUGAAAGAUGGUUUCGGCUAUCACUUACAGAUGGGCCCGCGGUGCAUUAGCUAGUUGGUGAGGUAACGGCUCACCAAGGCAACGAUGCAUAGCCGACCUGAGAGGGUGAUCGGCCACACUGGGACUGAGACACGGCCCAGACUCCUACGGGAGGCAGCAGUAGGGAAUCUUCCGCAAUGGACGAAAGUCUGACGGAGCAACGCCGCGUGAGUGAUGAAGGCUUUCGGGUCGUAAAACUCUGUUGUUAGGGAAGAACAAGUACGAGAGUAACUGCUCGUACCUUGACGGUACCUAACCAGAAAGCCACGGCUAACUACGUGCCAGCAGCCGCGGUAAUAC
Molecule: ribosomal RNA, 496 nt
Filed under: uncultured marine bacterium
Lineage: Bacteria
Description: bacterial SSU rRNA
Rfam family: Bacterial small subunit ribosomal RNA
Source: RNAcentral